Molecule: non-coding RNA, 66 nt
Filed under: Legionella pneumophila subsp. pneumophila
Lineage: Bacteria; Pseudomonadati; Pseudomonadota; Gammaproteobacteria; Legionellales; Legionellaceae
Also listed under: 1 other name
Description: Legionella RNA 69
Rfam family: Legionella RNA 69
Source: RNAcentral
AGACGGCAUAAAUGCCUCCUCAGCCCGAACGAUUCAAAAUAAUGGCUGUCUUAUCCAUAACUCACG